Molecule: long non-coding RNA, 3204 nt
Organism: Salvia miltiorrhiza (redroot sage)
Lineage: Eukaryota; Viridiplantae; Streptophyta; Magnoliopsida; Lamiales; Lamiaceae
Exons: 2
Source: RefSeq, a predicted model, not a curated record
AAUUUGUUCUUCAAAUAAAGCCAAAUAAUCUUCCAAGGAACCGGUUUGGCGUGUGAUAUGCAUAGCUUCAUACGCGUUGAUAGCCGAACUAUCGCCAAACCGUUCAAUAAGCCCUUAAGAAAACUGACUCCACUUAAUGGAGACAGAACAACGCAAGACCCAUUGUGCCCAAAACAUAGCCUGCCCCAACAUGGCAAUGAGCGCCAACUGCACGCGAUCCGAAGUUGGUGUUCGAUGGACUAAGAAGAAUUGCUCGGAUUGGGCAAGCCAGGCAAUAGGAUUUGUGCCGUCAAAUAUAGGAAGAUCCAUCCGCGGGAAAGACGGCGCCAGCGCUCCACCACUGCCGGUGGGAGAUUAUGUCUUGUCGCUCGCGAUUUCAUGUGGAGAACGCCCAUGAGCCUUGGUCAAGUUCUGAAGUUGAACCAAUAUGGAGGCUAGGGUGUUCGACUGAUAACAUGGAACCUUCAAACCCUCGACCUUGCCUGCGACCGAGCCGACUAUCGAGCACGAGGAAAGUUUCCAACCGAUAUACCAAUGUAGUGUGUAUCAUAUUAUGUAUAUUAAAAGUAAUAGUGUAAUAAUCACAAUUUUUGGUUUUCUAAUUUCAUUUACAAUACAUAAUUACCUUUGUUGUAGCAAGUAGUAGAUCCAGUAUUUGUUAUACAAUGAACUUAUUAACAAUUGGAAUAUUUUAUAUAGUGUGUAAUAUUUUUAUGUGUCAUAGUACUAAGUUGAACUAAUAUUUUUUUUUCUUUUUUCAGUUAUGAUACUUUGAUUGAAUUCAGUUUAUUUUGAUCAUUAUAACUCAUAAUAUUGGUAAAGUGAUAUUGAUUUCAUAUGUUCAUUUAUUUAUGUUAUAAAAUGUAUAUUAUAAUGUAUGCUAUGUCGAUGUGCUACUUGUGUACGCAGUAGUAAACAAUUGAGAAAUGACCAUCAGGCAGGUUUGCUCCAUAAAAGCAGAAAAAAUAGGCAAAUAAUUGACCACCAGGCAGGCCAUCUCCAUGAUCACCGGGCAGAUCACACUCCACUAAUAGCAUUCUAUAAUUCCUAAGUAAUAUGAUCUUACAAUAGGCAAAUAAUUGACCACCAGGCAGGCCAUCUCCGUGAUCACCGGGCAUAUCACACUCCACUAAGAGCAUUCUAUAAUUCAUAAGUAAUGUGAUCUUACUUUAGCGUGCAGGUGUUACUGAAUAUGCAUAUUUGUUGAGAUGAGAAAUUCUCAUGUACUGCAGCCACAAUAGCAGUGCAUGGCCUGUAUGGAUAAAAUAUUAAAUAGAUUCAUACUAACUAAUUAACUCAAUUAACCAACGUAAAAAGGCCCAGGUGCGUAGCAGCCUGGGCUGCAGUAACUCCUUUAUUGCGUCAAGAAUAAACCUGCCAAGUCGGCGCUCCUCCCCUCUGUGCAUCUCUAUCAUAGAACAGUAGCAGUCCUUACAAUCACAACUCUAGCCACAUCUAUGGCAGAACGAGAGGGCCCCAUACAAAUGGUUGGCUUUCAGAUCUGUUUUGAAGUCUGGUUGGCUUUAUCUUUACUAAAUGAUGUUUUAGCACUAGCUGGCCAGGGAUCAAUGAGAAUUAAUAAUUAUAAGGUUAGUUACAGAAACGGGAAACCUCUCAUGAUUUAAUUGCUUCUUCUCCUCUCUCUCUCUCUCUCUCUCUCUCACACACACACAAUUGUAACAAUCCUGAAAAUGAUACAAGUCUUUCAAAUAUGGUUUUUGUUAUUUUGCCUUAAUUUAUUCUCCUUUGUUGACAUCGAUCGCAGACUCUCCUUGCUAGUGACUACUCCUAAGGGAACUAUGGUUUGGCACGCCAGGUGACUUAUAAAGUCCUACAGAUCGGUUUAAUAAUGGGAGUAGCUUUGGAUGUAAUUUUGUAUCUUGGAUUUGGUACACUCUCCAGUCCGUUUAUCACUGACGAGGAAGUUUUGGUGAUUGCAAGAUCUGGAACCUUGGUGAGAAUCCCACCACGACUGGCAUAAUUAUAAAUGAAUUUACAUUGAUUUUGCAUACAUUACACGCCUUCUAGCAUGCUGAUUAGACGCACUCCUUGCACUUCUACAGCCUUGGUUUUGGCUCGGUAACAUCAUAAAUUAGAAAGCGACACAUUUUUAUGGCGUAGUAUUCACAAGUGAUUUAGCCAGUUAGUCUGAAAAACGAUCAUUCCUUGGCCUUAAAGCAGAGGAUUUAUAGAUCUAUCCUGAGUCCUGACACUAAGUGUUAUGAACAUGCUGCAUGCAUAUAGCUUAUUGAAUGGUCUAAACUUAUUGUAAACUAAUACUAGUAAAUUCAUUAGUGUGAUAUUCAGAGGUGGUAUAUUUGUUGAUGAUGUCAUAAAUAUGAGCUCAGGUUAAUCUUUUCCAAAAUGAACAUGAGCUUAGUCGCUUACUCCUCCCCCCACCCCCUCCCCCCCUUCUUGAUGAUUCAGUUCGUUGAAUGCUAUUACUUUUGUUCUUGACGGGCUAUAGUAUGGGGUUUCAGACUUCGGAUUUGCUGCAUAUUCCAUGGUAAUGCUGCAAAAUUACUCUAUGCUGACCACUCAUGGUUAUAAGUGACUAAUUGGACCAAUGUUUUUUGGGAGGUGUUUGUUGCAUUGAUCUCCUCAGCCUUCAUACUGGUAGCUGCUCCUUCGUAUGGCGUUGCAGGCGCAUAAGGUGGACUGUUUCUAUUUAUGACUUUGCGAGUGGUAUCUACAUAUAUCUUCUAUUCUAUUAGUUGAACCUAUGGCAUUCGAAGGGUGUCGAGUUCCUUGCUGAUCUCAAGAUAAGCACCAGAACUGGACCAUGGAGAUUGUUGUUGUCCAAUACCGAGAACGAUACUAUUUAAACUGCUAAAAAUUGUCUCCAAAUCUCCGUGUGUUCAGACAACCCCACUUUUAAGCUAGAACAAAUAUAAGAAUGUGUAGCCAACCCCAAGUUCUCUCCUCAGGGUGGCUCGCCUGCAGCAGUUGUUGAGCCAGGGGCGACAUAUGAACAUAUCAAUACAAGUACAAGAACUUCGACCCCCUAGUUGACUUACCACAAUAUGAUGAAACUAAGGUGCAUCUAGGAUGCAAACCAUCCAUUCGAGUGCAUCGUCGAACGACUAAGGAUACGAGUUCCCAAAUUUGAUAGGUAUUGUGCAGAGUAAGGGAUGAUUAAAUAUUUGUAACUGUAUCACUUUUAUUACAAGGCUUGAUCUCUCAAGUGUUAAUUCUUUUCAGCUA